RNAcentral lists this long non-coding RNA (539 nucleotides) under Danio rerio (zebrafish). RNAcentral describes it as "long non-coding RNA NONDRET007692". Lineage: Eukaryota; Metazoa; Chordata; Actinopteri; Cypriniformes; Danionidae. The record is from RNAcentral.
UCAAGGCAGACUCGGGUCAGCGGGACGUCCAGGAACAGUGUCUACCUACUGUGCCAAUUCCCUCUGCUUUGAAAACAUAAAGCAGCUCCUCCAGGUGUCCAGCUCUGAAUGUCAUUUCACCAACCAUAAACUGACAUCUGGCUGUAAUGUAUCCUAGAAUCACUGAGCGCCAGAGAACAGCGAGUUCAGAUCUCCUCUGUGGUUAAAUGCUGUACUGUACAUAAAGUCAAGCCAGUGACAGUUUUUCUCCCUCUCUUUUUUUUUUUGCAUCAAGCCAGGAACUUUGGUGUCUUUCUCAGCAGCGGCGCAUUAGAAGUUCUGACAUGUGCUGACUCUGGCACGGCGCUAUCGAUUCGCUGAGCAACAGAAUUGAGUCUUAGACGCAGGCCUCAGGGGAGCCUGGCAAAGUAAUCCUGGAAAACUGGGUUUCUGUGAAAAUCGAAUCAUUUGCAUAUUGAAUUGGGUAAUGAGUUUUCGGAGGCGUCUUCGUCCUCUAAAUGACAGGAGUCCUGUGAAGGGGCUCGAGGAGAAGCCCUGGC